This 1289-nucleotide ribosomal RNA is filed under the name metagenome. RNAcentral describes it as "bacterial LSU rRNA". It matches the Rfam family "Bacterial large subunit ribosomal RNA", at positions 853 to 2145 of the family's 2925-position model. The record is from RNAcentral.
UUCCCCGAAAACUAUUUAGGUAGUGCGUCAUGUAUCACUUGCGGGGGUAAAGCACUGUUAUGGCUAGGGGGUCAUCGCGACUUACCAAACCAUGGCAAACUCUGAAUACCGCAAAGUGCGAGCAUGGCAGACAGACAGUGGGUGCUAACGUCCAUUGUCAAGAGGGAAACAACCCAGACCGCCAGCUAAGGUCCCCAAGACACAGUUAAGUGGGAAACGAAGUGGGAAGGCAUAGACAGCUAGGAGGUUGGCUUAGAAGCAGCCAUCCUUUAAAGAAAGCGUAAUAGCUCACUAGUCGAGUCGUCCUGCGCGGAAGAUGUAACGGGGCUCAAACUGUGCACCGAAGCUGCGGAUAUCGAAAGAUAUGGUAGGGGAGCGUUCUGUAGGUCUGUGAAGGUGUCUUGUAAAGGAUGCUGGAGAUAUCAGAAGUGCGAAUGCUGACAUGAGUAGCGAUAAAGGGCGUGAAAAGCGCCCUCGCCGAAAGCCCAAGGUUUCCUACGCAACGUUCAUCGGCGUAGGGUGAGUCGGCUCCUAAGGCGAGGCAGAAAUGCGUAGUCGAUGGGAAACAGGUCAAUAUUCCUGUACCGAUUCUAGAUGCGAUGUGGGGACGGAGAAGGUUAGGUCAGCCGGGUGUUGGACGUCCCGGUUUAAGCGUGUAGGCGUGCCCCUUAGGCAAAUCCGGGGGGCUGAGCUGAGGCGUGAUGACGAGGAACCACGGUUCCGAAGUGAUUGAUACCAAGCUUCCAGGAAAAGCCACUAAGCUUCAGUCUAGAGUUGACCGUACCGCAAACCGACACAGGUGGGCAGGAUGAAAAUUCUAAGGCGCUUGAGAGAACUCAGGAGAAGGAACUCGGCAAAUUAACACCGUAACUUCGGGAGAAGGUGUGCCCCGGUAGCGUGUAGAGACUUGCUCUCGAAGCGCGAUGGGGUUGCAGUGAAAUGGUGGCUGCGACUGUUUAAUAAAAACACAGCACUCUGCAAACACGAAAGUGGACGUAUAGGGUGUGACGCCUGCCCGGUGCCGGAAGGUUAAGUGGUGGGGUGCAAGCUCUUGAUCGAAGCCCCGGUAAACGGCGGCCGUAACGAUAACGGUCCUAAGGUAGCGAAAUUCCUUGUCGGGUAAGUUCCGACCUGCACGAAUGGCGUAACGAUGGCCACACUGUCUCCUCCUGGGACUCAGCGAAGUUGAAAUGUUUGUGAAGAUGCAAUCUACCCGCGGCUAGACGGAAAGACCCCAUGAACCUUUACUGUAGCUCUGCAUUGGACUUUGAACCGGUUUGAAAAAAAAG